Long non-coding RNA from Zea mays, 4408 nucleotides. RefSeq lists it as uncharacterized. The transcript is spliced from 5 exons. NCBI's taxonomy places the organism in Eukaryota, Viridiplantae, Streptophyta, Magnoliopsida, Poales, Poaceae. The record is from RefSeq and is a predicted model, not a curated record.
CCUCUUAUCUUAAAAGAUUCUUUCUUAUCUUAAUAGAUCUGACUAAUCUCAAAAGAUUCUAUCCUAUUCUUAGAGAUACAUCUUGUUCUAAUAAGCAUACUUAUCCCCACCACCUUGCUUAUUUCAUAAUGUCGUAACAAACACGAUCUAUUCCAAAAUUAAAUUAAGUAUACUUUAUCCAGUCUAAUCUGAUUACACCAAUUUAAUUCUGAUCCCAUCUAAUUUGAUCGGAUCUAACCUAAUGGACAAACAUGUUAGAUAAUACUGGUAAAAUAAGAUUGGAUCCUACUCUUAUAAAUAUGUUUUAAUCCAAGUUGGACUAAGAUUCCAAUUUAGACUAGACCACAUACAACAACCUUGCCAUAUGCAACUACCUUAACCACUCGAUAGUUACAUAACCCCUCUGUUUUAACCAACAGGGAUUUUGACCUACCUCAUAUAGCCUGCCCUACCCACAGCUAUCUUAUCCAAGACACCACUACGAAGAAGAUCAACCUCAUCAAGGAAAGGAUAAGAGUCAUCGUCAAGGAUAAAAGUUAAACCAGAUCUCUAGAUGCAUCAAGAUCCACCAUCCAGGAUAGAAGUUUUUCUUGCCUAACCUUCUCUUAUCCUAAGCUUUUCUAAAUCUUACUUAUUAGCUAAAACAUAAUAUGCACAUGUUUUCUAGCCACACUUGCUAAUGAAGAGAAACUUUUGGAAGCAUUAAAACUAAUUGAAAACGAAAAGUAAAAAAAAACUUUCUAUAUCCCUUUCUUGCUAAUCUCGAGGACGAGAUUAUUUUUAAGGGGGUAGGAUUUGUAAUACCCAAAAUCUUAGAAAUAAAAUAGAAUCCUUGAUUAUAUGAUUUUGUGACUAUAUUUUUGCAUAUCAACAAUGUGGGUCCAGUUAAGGCAAAUAAUAAUUAUCUAAAUAUAUAAAUUGUGCAUCAUGCUGGGUCUUUAAAUGUGCACUUGACUUAGAUUUAAACUUCAAAAUGCAGUUCGAAUUUAGAAUUAAAUUUUAGUAAAGAAAUUAAAAAUAGACAAAAAAGAGAGAAAGGAGAGAAUUAAAUCGAGCUAACCAUAAAAUGGCCAGACCAUUUCACUCGACAUGCAAGCAUGAGCGUGCAUAGAUUUUUUUUAACCCUUUUCUUAUUUCUUUAUUCUUUCUAUCGGCUGCUUCAUGACGAUAUCCAUGGGCCCCAGCGCUAACAGGUCACAGCGGUUGUUGUGCUCUACAGAGACUAUCAUGUGGGCCCUAUUCUCUAGAAUUGUAUCCAUGCAUAGUUUGUUACGUACGAAUCAAAUCAGGUAACCGUCCAUGCAUGCGGUUUCUGCGGGCGGGCUCAUUGCGAUUAGGAGCAGGUUGUUGAGAUCCGAAAUUUCUGCCAGAUGCCAACUGAACCAGCUCCUGAGUAUUAAAACCGAACCCCCGUGACUCCCUGCACUAUCUCAUCCGCUGCUGGGAGCUUGCAAUCUUCCAGGAACGUUUUUUUGGUGCUAGCCGAGAGAGAAUCGAGAGGAAGAGAGAGAGAAAACCAUGCGCUGUAGCCUGCUUGUGAAGCCACAAGGCCUCGGCUGGUCGCUCAGGAGGGAUCUCACCGGUGGGCGCUAGAAGGUUGGACAACCGAUGUCGCGGGGUGUGAAGCUCGCCGGACUUGGGAUCUCUGCGCGGUCACCUGUGCUCGGCUGAGCCGUGGUCUGGAGCGACCACAUGGCGAGGGGACUGGACAUCGGAGUUUAGAGCGUCGCCGUGAUCCAAGCGCCACGGUCGGUCAACUCUGCUCCGGUCGACGGUGAAACUGGAAGAACGUAUGAAGCUAGACUUGUUGCAAUUUAUAGACAUGUAAGAGAGAACGGAGUUGAGGGACAACCUAUUUCUGUUUCAACAGAACAAUUUGUAAACUUUGAAUGGCAACCAGUUAUCUAGAUCUUUGCCUGAUGCGAUUGGUUACCUGAUGAACUUUAACAGAUUACAAAUAAAAGAUAACAACAUAUCAGGCCCAUACCUAACUCUUUUGCCAACUUAACAAGAAUUAAACAUCUGUAAGUGUCGAGUAUCUUUAUUUUCUGCCCAUCCUGAUGCUUCUGAUUUGUAAAAUUAGUAAAUAAUUAUGGUUCCAAUUUUACCUUUUAGUCACAUGAAUAUUAACUCAUUACAAAUCCCAUCUGAGUUGUCUAGCUUGCCUUGACUCCUUCAUUUGUAAGUAGACCUCAACUUUUUCUCUAAUAUUUUCUAUUUUGCAAGUUGCAGAUUACUUGUAAGUUGACAUGUCUUGUGCUGUGAACUUGCAGCCUUGUUGAUAACAAUAAUUUCUAUUUUGCAAGUUGUAGAUUACUUGUAAUUUGUUUCGUUUAUUGAGUAACACUAUCAUCAUUAUGUCGUUCCUACCGCACUUUCCACAUAUCUUUCAUAAGCGGAUAUUGUUUUCAAUAGUUUUGUGAUUACCAGUCCAUGGAUUACGAUGGACUAAAUGCAAAUGACAUAGGCUUGUAUAGAUCAAGAACCAUGCUAACAGUGAUGAAGAAAGAUGAAUGAAGACUAAUGAUGGUGAACUUAUUUAUUAGCUCAUAGAAAGGUCACAUAGUUUUAUACAAAGUGAUCACCAUUGAGACCGAACACACGACUAAUACAAAUAGAGAACAAAUCAUUACUACUAAGUUUCAUCUAAAACAUAACUAACAAAGUAUCUACUAUAACAAGCUAGAACACGUCUCAAUCAGAUAUCACAGUUGUGAGAUGUGCCCGUCUGUUCUCAAGAAAUCUGUCAACGUACGACGCCUUGGAUUUUGAAUCAACGAACGUCGAAUAGCUGCAAUUUAGAACAUAAUUUGUAAGAAGAUGGUUAUUUUAAAUUAUUAUCAUUUUAAUUUUAGCUAUAGUUUAUAACUAUAUUCUAAGAACCACUCACUCUUCAAGUGGUAUGUAGUGUGAUGAUCUGGGUUGAAAUGAACGGUGCUGUAAUCCGAGGUUUCCAAGCAUCUUAUUGUUAGGAUAAUAAAUAAGCAUAAGAAUUGAGUUCAAGUUGAAAGAUUUUAGGUACAAGAGAAAUUACUGUGUUUAUUGUUACGAUGCAGCAUAGUUCCAAUAAUUAUGUUAUUGUCAACUCUAGCUAACGACCAUCGUAGAGCAUUUCUUUGCAAGAGGUUAGUCCAUACCCCCACGACGAUUAGAUCCCACCUAUAAAAACAUUAAUGUUGUCUGAAUAAGACCUAACAAUUACUUAAUACUUUCAAAAAAUAAUGUAGCUAUAAAUUAGUGUCACCUGGAAUCCAUUAGUACAACCUCUCUAUACGGCCUUCCACCGAUAUGCUUUAAUGGCUCUAAAUGAAGAACUAUGCCAAUAAUGUCUGAGCAAUUCACAUGUGAUUAGUUAUCUUUGAAUAACUUAUACAUCAGCCAUUAAUACUAUACAUAUAAACCAUAUGGAAGGAAUGAUCAUUACCUAUGAACGACUUAUGCGGUUGUUGCUACACCUUAUGGAAUGGCAUAAUAUACUUUGGAAAUGGAGGAAAUUGGAUUGGCUUGAUGAAUGGCUCCACAAUAGUUUGUGUUAUGAGUCCGAUCUCUAGCCCAUGUCCAAUAUUCCGAAAUUGAAUCUCCUCCCUAUUUAGACAGAAUCCCACUCUAUACAAUGUAUAUGUGCAUCCUUGUGUGAGUAAGGCAUCGAACCGUGGAACAUUAUUGUGGCUUGAAAUUGCUUCCAUUUUGGAUCCCUAGAUAUAUGGGAAUACAGGUCGUAUGAGUCAAAGAAUUUUAUUAUAACAACAUGACUAUAUUGACUCUAUUUUAAAGCUUGAAGUAACUCACUGUAAUAUCCUGUAGGAUGAAGUGUUGACUAUCAUGACGCCUAGGGAACUUAACAACUACCCUCGCAAAGAUACUCUUUACGUAUGACUGAAUUUCUUAGGUAAAGCCAGCUAGGACAUUUGCUUAUGAUUUUUGUGCUGUCUUGAGCCAUCACAAACUGGUAGAGAUGCUGAGGCUAAGGGAUAUGAAUUCAUAUCACAGAAGAAUGUGCUUGAUUUAACACCAUGCACAACAUCUGUCAAGGAGUUGUAUUCAAGAUCACGGUGGAUGUGACAAGCAAAUGAAGCAAUGAUUCAAAUAUUACAAUUCUGGAUGGUGACUUAGAAGCAAUGAUUCAAAUGGAGCGUAGGAAACAGAUAUCGAACUAACAAGUAAUAAUCUCACUUAAGGGUGUUUCACUUUGUGUUGAACUGUAGACAUAGAAAGAAGAAUUAAGACAAGCGAAGAAGAAUGAAGAGAAGCAGGUGAGAGAAAAAGUUGUGCAGGUGCAAGUGCACCGUACAGAAAGCAUACUACCAUCUAAUCCUUUCAACUAUCAUUUUAGCAUCAACCUCUAUAUACCGGAAGCAUGCGUGUAUAUAAACUUCAUACCCCAAUAAAUACCCCCAAUACACACAAG